AAAAAGGCCGGAAUAGCUCAGUUGGYAGAGCAGAGGACUGAAAAU
RNAcentral lists this transfer RNA (45 nucleotides) under Jochenia pallescens. Its description in RNAcentral is "partial tRNA-Phe". Lineage: Eukaryota; Viridiplantae; Streptophyta; Bryopsida; Hypnales; Jocheniaceae. The record is from RNAcentral.